GACGAACGCUGGCGGCGUGCUUAACACAUGCAAGUCGAACGGGCUGCCUGGUUUUCGGAUCGGGUGGUGAGUGGCGAACGGGUGAGUAACACGUGAGUAACCUGCCCCUCUCUUUGGGAUAACGUCGGGAAAUCGGCGCUAAUACCGGGUAUUCUGGCUUCCUCGCAUGGGGUUGUUGGGAAAGGUUUUUUCUGGUGGGGGAUGGGCUCGCGGCCUAUCCGCUUGUUGGUGGGGUGAUGGCCUACCAAGGCGGUGACGGGUAGCCGGCCUGGGAGGGUGUCCGGCCACACUGGGACUGAGACACGGCGCAGACUCCUACGGGAGGCAGCAGUGGGGAAUAUUGCACAAUGGGCGGAAGCCUGAUGCAGCGACGCCGCGUGGGGGAUGACGGCCUUCGGGUUGUAAACCUCUUUCAGUGCAGAACAAGGCUCUUUGUGGGUUGAGGGUAUGCGCAGAAGAAGCGCCGGCUAACUACGUG
Molecule: ribosomal RNA, 478 nt
Filed under: uncultured bacterium
Lineage: Bacteria
Description: partial 16S ribosomal RNA
Rfam family: Bacterial small subunit ribosomal RNA
Source: RNAcentral